Molecule: long non-coding RNA, 382 nt
Filed under: Arachis ipaensis
Lineage: Eukaryota; Viridiplantae; Streptophyta; Magnoliopsida; Fabales; Fabaceae
Description: long non-coding RNA (AIPA_LNC001669)
Source: RNAcentral
AGGUUUCAAAUGAGAAAAAUGUUACCCUUUUGAUUCAGAAUUGACAGAGGUUCAGACUUUAGAGCACUUGUAUUAAGUAAGUCAACCUCACUAUUUGUUAUUAUAUUUUAUUAUUCCAAAGUGCAUCAACUUGACAACUUGCUUUUGUUUCCACCUGUGUGUGUGUGUCUGCUGCUAUAAAGAAUUGUUCAAGGUGGAAAUGGAAGACUUUAAUGGAAGACUCACCACCGCAUUUGAAGGGACAAACAAAGCAUAGCGUCUACAUCACUCAACUUAAUUUUCACUAUGUUUUGUUGGAAAAUGAGAGUAGAAACAUAUGAAAACUACAUAUACGCAAUGUAACCUAUCUUUAUUUUUUGUCUUGUCUGCAUAGACUUCAAAU